RNAcentral lists this non-coding RNA (88 nucleotides) under human gut metagenome. The record is from RNAcentral.
AUCGGGGGUGCUGACGCGCGAGCGGAGGCUGAGACGGCGAGAGCCGAACCCUUUCACCUGAUACGGGUAAUGCCGGCGUAGGGAGAUU